This 72-nucleotide transfer RNA is filed under the name Marmota marmota marmota (Alpine marmot). It matches the Rfam family "tRNA". From Rfam's summary of the family: Transfer RNA (tRNA) molecules are approximately 80 nucleotides in length. Lineage: Eukaryota; Metazoa; Chordata; Mammalia; Rodentia; Sciuridae. RNAcentral also lists the same sequence under 2 other names. The record is from Rfam by way of RNAcentral.
GGGGAUGUAGCUCAUUGGUAAAGCACUUGCUUAGCAUGUAUGAGGCCCUGUGUUCAAUCCCCAGCACCUCAA